Molecule: ribosomal RNA, 447 nt
Filed under: uncultured bacterium
Lineage: Bacteria
Description: partial 16S ribosomal RNA
Rfam family: Bacterial small subunit ribosomal RNA
Source: RNAcentral
ACCCCAGACUCCUACGGGGGCAGCAGUGGGGAAUAUUGCACAAUGGGGGAAACCCUGAUGCAGCAACGCCGCGUGAGUGAGGAAGUAUUUCGGUAUGUAAAGCUCUAUCAGCAGGGAAUAGAAAAGAAGGUACCUGAAAAAGAAGCCCCGGCUAACUACGUGCCAGUAGCCGCGGUAAUACGUAGGGGGCAAGCGUUAUCCGGAUUUACUGGGUGUAAAGGGGGCGCAGACGGCAGCGCAAGCCAGGAGUGAAAGCCCGGGGCCCAACCCCGGGACUGCUCUUGGAACUGCGCGGCUGGAGUGCAGGAGGGGCAGGCGGAAUUCCUGGUGUAGCGGUGAAAUGCGUAGAUAUCAGGAGGAACACCGGCGGCGAAGGCGGCCUGCUGGACCGUGACUGACGUUGAGGCUCGAGAGCGUGGGGAGCAAACAGGAUUAGAUACCCCGGUA